GGUUAAGCGACUAAGCGUACACGGUGGAUGCCCUGGCAGUCAGAGGCGAUGAAGGGCGUGCUAAUCUGCGAUAAGCGCCGGUAAGGUGAUAUGAACCGUUAUAACCGGCGAUACCCGAAUGGGGAAACCCAGUGUGACUCGUCACACUAUCAUUAACUGAAUCCAUAGGUUAAUGAGGCGAACCGGGGGAACUGAAACAUCUAAGUACCCCGAGGAAAAGAAAUCAACCGAGAUUCCCCCAGUAGCGGCGAGCGAACGGGGAGGAGCCCAGAGCCUGAAUCAGCAUGUGUGUUAGUGGAAGCGUCUGGAAAGGCGCGCGAUACAGGGUGACAGCCCCGUACACAAAAGCGCAUGUGCUGUGAGCUCGAUGAGUAGGGCGGGACACGUGGUAUCCUGUCUGAAUAUGGGGGGACCAUCCUCCAAGGCUAAAUACUCCUGACUGACCGAUAGUGAACCAGUACCGUGAGGGAAAGGCGAAAAGAACCCCGGCGAGGGGAGUGAAAAAGAACCUGAAACCGUGUACGUACAAGCAGUGGGAGCACAGGUUUACCUGUGUGACUGCGUACCUUUUGUAUAAUGGGUCAGCGACUUAUAUUCUGUAGCAAGGUUAACCGAAUAGGGGAGCCGGAGGGAAACCGAGUCUUAACUGGGCGUUAAGUUGCAGGGUAUAGACCCGAAACCCGGUGAUCUAGCCAUGGGCAGGUUGAAGGUUGGGUAACACUAACUGGAGGACCGAACCGACUAAUGUUGAAAAAUUAGCGGAUGACCUGUGGCUGGGGGUGAAAGGCCAAUCAAACCGGGAGAUAGCUGGUUCUCCCCGAAAGCUAUUUAGGUAGCGCCUCGUGAAUUCAUCUCCGGGGGUAGAGCACUGUUUCGGCUAGGGGGCCAUCCCGGCUUACCAACCCGAUGCAAACUGCGAAUACCGGAGAAUGUUAUCACGGGAGACACACGGCGGGUGCUAACGUCCGUCGUGAAGAGGGAAACAACCCAGACCGCCAGCUAAGGUCCCAAAGUCAUGGUUAAGUGGGAAACGAUGUGGGAAGGCCCAGACAGCCAGGAUGUUGGCUUAGAAGCAGCCAUCAUUUAAAGAAAGCGUAAUAGCUCACUGGUCGAGUCGGCCUGCGCGGAAGAUGUAACGGGGCUAAACCAUGCACCGAAGCUGCGGCAGCGACACUGUGUGUUGUUGGGUAGGGGAGCGUUCUGUAAGCCUGUGAAGGUGGCCUGUGAGGGUUGCUGGAGGUAUCAGAAGUGCGAAUGCUGACAUAAGUAACGAUAAAGCGGGUGAAAAGCCCGCUCGCCGGAAGACCAAGGGUUCCUGUCCAACGUUAAUCGGGGCAGGGUGAGUCGACCCCUAAGGCGAGGCCGAAAGGCGUAGUCGAUGGGAAACGGGUUAAUAUUCCCGUACUUGGUGUUACUGCGAAGGGGGGACGGAGAAGGCUAUGUUGGCCGGGCGACGGUUGUCCCGGUUUAAGCGUGUAGGUGUGUGUUCCAGGUAAAUCCGGUUCACUUUAACACUGAGGCGUGACGACGAGGCACUACGGUGCUGAAGCAACAAAUGCCCUGCUUCCAGGAAAAGCCUCUAAGCAUCAGGUAACAUCAAAUCGUACCCCAAACCGACACAGGUGGUCAGGUAGAGAAUACCAAGGCGCUUGAGAGAACUCGGGUGAAGGAACUAGGCAAAAUGGUGCCGUAACUUCGGGAGAAGGCACGCUGACACGUAGGUGAAGUGAUUUACUCAUGGAGCUGAAGUCAGUCGAAGAUACCAGCUGGCUGCAACUGUUUAUUAAAAACACAGCACUGUGCAAACACGAAAGUGGACGUAUACGGUGUGACGCCUGCCCGGUGCCGGAAGGUUAAUUGAUGGGGUCAGCGCAAGCGAAGCUCCUGAUCGAAGCCCCGGUAAACGGCGGCCGUAACUAUAACGGUCCUAAGGUAGCGAAAUUCCUUGUCGGGUAAGUUCCGACCUGCACGAAUGGCGUAAUGAUGGCCAGGCUGUCUCCACCCGAGACUCAGUGAAAUUGAACUCGCUGUGAAGAUGCAGUGUACCCGCGGCAAGACGGAAAGACCCCGUGAACCUUUACUAUAGCUUGACACUGAACAUUGAGCCUUGAUGUGUAGGAUAGGUGGGAGGCUUUGAAGUGUGGACGCCAGUCUGCAUGGAGCCGACCUUGAAAUACCACCCUUUAAUGUUUGAUGUUCUAACGUGGACCCGUAAUCCGGGUUGCGGACAGUGUCUGGUGGGUAGUUUGACUGGGGCGGUCUCCUCCUAAAGAGUAACGGAGGAGCACGAAGGUUGGCUAAUCCUGGUCGGACAUCAGGAGGUUAGUGCAAUGGCAUAAGCCAGCUUGACUGCGAGCGUGACGGCGCGAGCAGGUGCGAAAGCAGGUCAUAGUGAUCCGGUGGUUCUGAAUGGAAGGGCCAUCGCUCAACGGAUAAAAGGUACUCCGGGGAUAACAGGCUGAUACCGCCCAAGAGUUCAUAUCGACGGCGGUGUUUGGCACCUCGAUGUCGGCUCAUCACAUCCUGGGGCUGAAGUAGGUCCCAAGGGUAUGGCUGUUCGCCAUUUAAAGUGGUACGCGAGCUGGGUUUAGAACGUCGUGAGACAGUUCGGUCCCUAUCUGCCGUGGGCGCUGGAGAACUGAGGGGGGCUGCUCCUAGUACGAGAGGACCGGAGUGGACGCAUCACUGGUGUUCGGGUUGUCAUGCCAAUGGCACUGCCCGGUAGCUAAAUGCGGAAGAGAUAAGUGCUGAAAGCAUCUAAGCACGAAACUUGCCCCGAGAUGAGUUCUCCCUGAGACUUAGAGUCUCCUGAAGGAACGUUGAAGACGACGACGUUGAUAGGCCGGGUGUGUAAGCGCAGCGAUGCGUUGAGCUAACCGGUACUAAUGAACCGUGAGGCUUAACCUU
RNAcentral lists this ribosomal RNA (2907 nucleotides) under Salmonella enterica subsp. enterica serovar Mbandaka. RNAcentral's name for it is "23S ribosomal RNA". It matches the Rfam family "Bacterial large subunit ribosomal RNA". Lineage: Bacteria; Pseudomonadati; Pseudomonadota; Gammaproteobacteria; Enterobacterales; Enterobacteriaceae. The record is from RNAcentral.